CUCUUAGACACUCUAGGCGGCACGCGCGCUACAAUGGGUGGAAGAACGUGUUACUGCCUCCGAAAGGAGGGGUGAAUCACGAAUUCUUGCCCGUGAAUGGGAUAGUUUGUUGCAAUUUUCGGACUUGAACUAGGAAUCCCUUGUAAACAUGCUCAAGAAUAGCGUGUUGAAUACGUCCCUGCCGUUUGUACACACCGCCCGUCGUUUCUUCCGACUGAUACUCAUUGUGAGUUGCAAGGACCCUUUAUUGGGAAAUUGCUGCAAAUGCUUUGUAUUGGAGGAAGAAAAAGUCGUAACA
This 298-nucleotide ribosomal RNA is filed under the name uncultured eukaryote. RNAcentral describes it as "partial 18S ribosomal RNA". It matches the Rfam family "Eukaryotic small subunit ribosomal RNA", at positions 1470 to 1796 of the family's 1831-position model. The record is from RNAcentral.